RNAcentral lists this ribosomal RNA (362 nucleotides) under uncultured bacterium. RNAcentral describes it as "bacterial SSU rRNA". It matches the Rfam family "Bacterial small subunit ribosomal RNA", at positions 68 to 422 of the family's 1533-position model. The record is from RNAcentral.
AGUUUCCUGUAGCAAUACAGGGAAUGGGCGCACGGCGCACGGGUGAGUAACACGUGGGCAAUCUGCCCUUCGGUGGGGAAUACCCCCGCGAAAGCGGGACUAAUACCGCAUGACAUUCCGGUGGCUUCGGCCGCCGGACUCAAAGGCCGCAAGGCCGCCGGAGGAGGAGCCCGCGCCCGAUUAGCUUGUUGGCGAGGUAACGGCUCACCAAGGCUUUGAUCGGUAGCUGGUCUGAGAGGACGAUCAGCCACACUGGAACUGAGACACGGUCCAGACUCCUACGGGAGGCAGCAGUGGGGAAUAUUGCGCAAUGGGCGAAAGCCUGACGCAGCGACGCCGCGUGGGGGAUGAAGCUUCUCGGA